Molecule: long non-coding RNA, 1252 nt
Organism: Drosophila pseudoobscura
Lineage: Eukaryota; Metazoa; Arthropoda; Insecta; Diptera; Drosophilidae
Exons: 2
Source: RefSeq, a predicted model, not a curated record
UUUAUUUUCACGAAUGUGCAAUUUCAUCACAAAAUGUAUCAUUCCUGGCACUAUAUGCUUGAUUGCGAUGCUGAAAAUUAUCAUAAUGUGCAUAUUCUGAACUAUCUAUGAUUCGUAUGUGUUGAUUAUGUGGUUUGAGUUAGCGAAGCUCUUGGUUUACAUGCCAAAGUCACUUGAUUUUCCGUUCCAUUCCAUUGAAAAAAAAUUCGAAAUUAUCGCAUAACUAGCAUUAUUAGCCAUUCUUUAUCUCCCCUGAUAGUCAGUGUCCUCAAAAAUCGUUUGCCUAAGCAACCGCUUUAAUUAUCUACAGAAAAAAAAGAAAAGUAGACUCCGAAAAGGCAAGCAAAAAAGAGAAUAGGGAAAUGUUAAUAGAAGGCAGAAUGAUUAUUGUUCCCCCAUUUGAUUUUUGCAGACGAAGGGACAAAACUUUGCCUGUCGUCUGGCUAUGCCCGGUUCCUGUCGUUUCCAUCCAGCCGCCUAGGGCCCCAAACGGUAGGAAUGCCAGCGGAAAUGCCAAGCGGUAGCGACGACUAAUUGGCAGAGAGUUUAUCCAUACUGAAUGGCAUGAGUUGAGCGGGGUAAAGCGAGGGAAUACAGCGCUAAACGUAGGUGCAAAAUGAAACGGCAAAAAUAGAUUGACCGUGCAAAAACAAGAGAACUGAAAUAAUGGAGAGAGAGAGAGAGAGAGAGCGAUACAGAUCGAGAGUUAGAACGCGUAAGGGAGACGAGUGCGGCGUUCACUGAAUCGGUUAAGAGUACCGCAAGCCCAGUUUUGAAAAGCAGCACGUGACCAUAUGGUCAUGGACGUCGGACUCGGUUCGAUCGGCGAUUAUUUCAGCUAGACCUGGCAGACAAGCCAAAAGAGAGCGCUGCAAAAGACAAAAGCGAGACUGAGGAGAGAGACUGGCCAACAGGUGAGCGAGUUAAUUUGCCAGCAAGACAAAUUGACGGCGAUUGUGAAAAAGCUUUGCUUUGUGUCUGUGUGCGUGCUAAAUAGUUGGGUGAGCAAGAUAGCAGACAUGCGGCGGCAAAUGCCUGGAAACAGAUCAGAAUGCUUUUUGCAGUGGACACUGGCUAAAGAAGACCCCGGCAUUAUGUAUAACGAAGAUGUUACGAGAACAUUAAAUAGUCUGAUAAGAACUUAGCCGAAAGGAGAUCCGAAAUGUAAUUACUUCUGAACAAUGAAUUUUAAAGAACAGGAAAGACUUUCACCUCAAUUAAAACACAUUUCUCAUACCGAUAUUUCACUGUA